CGGGAUAAAGUCAAGAUCCAGAAUAGCUGAAGCCAAUAUGGAAGGAAUUCACAAAGCCUUGGAAAAUAUGGUUGCUCUAAUGCAACAUCAGAUGGAAAACAGCAAUCCACCCAGCCAAUCAGUUACAGGAAAUGGUGGGAGCAAUAUCGAACAAUUUAAGAAAUUAAACACACCUUCUUUUAAGGGUGCUGUAAACCCACUAGAAGCCGAGGGAUGGAUUAUGCAAUUGGAAAAAAUAUUCGAGGUUAUGGAAUGUCCUGAUGAUAGGAAGGUG
Molecule: long non-coding RNA, 274 nt
Filed under: Amborella trichopoda
Lineage: Eukaryota; Viridiplantae; Streptophyta; Magnoliopsida; Amborellales; Amborellaceae
Description: long non-coding RNA (ATRI_LNC001264)
Source: RNAcentral